AAACUUACCAGGUCAAGACAUGGGCGUGAUUGACAGGCUAAUGACUUUUCUCGAUUCCAUGGAUGGUGGUGCAUGGUCGCACUUAGUUGGUGCAGUGAUUUGUCAGGUUUAUUCCGGUAACGAACGAGACCUCGGCCUUGUAAAUAGCUAUGCUGCUUACAGGGACAUUGGCGGCUACGCCAAGGAAGCUCGAGGCAAUUGCAGAUCUGGAAUGCCCUUAGAUGUCCUGGGUCGCACGCGUGCUACAAUGACGCCACGAACGAGCUUGCGUGAUGAAAGUUACGCAUAAUCAGCAGUCGGCGUCUUAAGGGAUAGUCUCUUGUAACUGUGGGACUCCAACUAGGAAUGUCUCGUAAGCACAAGUCAACAUCUUGUGUUGAUUACGUCCCUGCUCUUUGUACACACCGCCCGUCGCUCCUACCGAUCGAGUGUUUAGGUGAAUUUGAUGGACGUAAGGAAGUCAAAUAAACCUGAGCACUAGAGAAGAGAAGUCGAGAUGA
Molecule: ribosomal RNA, 500 nt
Filed under: uncultured Myrionecta
Lineage: Eukaryota; Ciliophora; Litostomatea; Cyclotrichida; Mesodiniidae
Description: bacterial SSU rRNA
Rfam family: Eukaryotic small subunit ribosomal RNA
Source: RNAcentral